Molecule: ribosomal RNA, 495 nt
Filed under: uncultured bacterium
Lineage: Bacteria
Description: partial 16S ribosomal RNA
Rfam family: Bacterial small subunit ribosomal RNA
Source: RNAcentral
AUGAACGCUGGCGGCGUGCCUAAUACAUGCCAGUCGAGCGAACAGACGAGGAGCUUGCUCCUCUGACGUUAGCGGCGGACGGGUGAGUAACACGUGGAUAACCUACCUAUAAGACUGGGAUAACUUCGGGAAACCGGAGCUAAUACCGGAUAAUAUAUUGAACCGCAUGGUUCAAUAGUGAAAGACGGUUUUGCUGUCACUUAUAGAUGGAUCCGCGCCGCAUUAGCUAGUUGGUAAGGUAACGGCUUACCAAGGCGACGAUGCGUAGCCGACCUGAGAGGGUGAUCGGCCACACUGGAACUGAGACACGGUCCAGACUCCUACGGGAGGCAGCAGUAGGGAAUCUUCCGCAAUGGGCGAAAGCCUGACGGAGCAACGCCGCGUGAGUGAUGAAGGUCCUCGGAUCGUAAAACUCUGUUAUUAGGGAAGAACAAAUGUGUAAGUAACUAUGCACGUCUUGACGGUACCUAAUCAGAAAGCCACGGCUAACUACGU